This 610-nucleotide ribosomal RNA is filed under the name Pichia barkeri. RNAcentral describes it as "eukaryotic LSU rRNA". It matches the Rfam family "Eukaryotic large subunit ribosomal RNA", at positions 64 to 664 of the family's 3401-position model. The record is from RNAcentral. Lineage: Eukaryota; Fungi; Ascomycota; Pichiomycetes; Pichiales; Pichiaceae.
ACUUCGGGGCAUGCAUCAGUAGCGGCGAGUGAAGCGGCAAGAGCUCAGAUUUGAAAUCUCACCAUUCGUGGUGCGAGUUGUAAAUUGCAGGUUGGAGUCUCGGUUUAGACGUGUGUGCAAGUCCCUUGGAACAGGGCGCCACUGAGGGUGAGAGCCCCGUAGUGUGCACGAUCGACGCUGUGAGGCCCUUCUGACGAGUCGAGUUGUUUGGGAAUGCAGCUCUAAGUGGGUGGUAAAUUCCAUCUAAGGCUAAAUAUUGGCGAGAGACCGAUAGCGAACAAGUACUGUGAAGGAAAGAUGAAAAGCACUUUGAAAAGAGAGUGAAACAGCACGUGAAAUUGUUGAAAGGGAAGGGUAUUGGGCUCGACAUGGGAUUUACGCAUCGUUGCCUCUCGUGGGCGGCGCUCUGGGUUUUUCCUGGGCCAGCAUCGGUUUCUGUUGCAGGAUAAGGACCUUUGGAAUGUGGCUCCUCGGAGUGUUAUAGCCAUUGGUAGAUGCUGCAUAUGGGGACCGAGGGCUGCGGCGGACUCGUUUCGUCUCGGAUGCUGGCACAACGGCGCAAUACCGCCCGUCUUGAGCAACGGAACAAAUAAAAGAGGAGGGCGCGUCC